This is a long non-coding RNA of Ornithodoros turicata, 585 nucleotides long. RefSeq lists it as uncharacterized. The transcript has 3 exons. NCBI's taxonomy places the organism in Eukaryota, Metazoa, Arthropoda, Arachnida, Ixodida, Argasidae. The record is from RefSeq and is a predicted model, not a curated record.
UUUAGCAAGAAGAGUCUUUUGAAUGUUGUGGCUGCGUUCCAAAGUUUUCUUCCUCGAAAAUCAUCGCCGCUCCAGCACAAAAAGUAAGGUCGUCUGGUCAUCAGAGCGAACGAGUCCGCAAAAUACAUCCGAGACAAUCCAAUUUGGUUUCUUCAUUAAACGCAAGCUGCGUCAUGUGAGGAAAAGGUGUUGCUGCGCCACGGACAAGACUCAAGCAAGCCCGUCAACAUUAGUUUUCGAUGACUUCUUCAAGCUAUUCUCUCCACGUCUUGAAAUACCUAAGUAGGAAAAGUCCUAUCAUCACUACCUCUGCGUUUUCGCUGCUCGGCAACUCUAUUCUUGUAAGCCGCAUACAGCUCUCGCCGUAAGCUUAGUGGGAGCAUUAUUUACGUUGUUGGACCUUCCAGCGUUCUUUAAUACGAAAGAAAAAAAGAGAGAAAGAAACACGAAGAAAAAAAAUUACGAGACAACGAAUGAAGGGAUUUCAUAGAAGUGAAGUGCUCGGUACCGAGGAAACUUGGCGCAAUAUUAUUGCCUGCGGAAGAGAUGAAGGUGACGGUAGAAUGUCCGCUCAAGAGCAACCUA